RNAcentral lists this small nuclear RNA (19 nucleotides) under Arabidopsis thaliana (thale cress). RNAcentral's name for it is "snRNA_03913". Lineage: Eukaryota; Viridiplantae; Streptophyta; Magnoliopsida; Brassicales; Brassicaceae. The record is from RNAcentral.
ACUGCAAAAAUGUAUAUAU